Molecule: ribosomal RNA, 2665 nt
Filed under: Triticum aestivum (bread wheat)
Lineage: Eukaryota; Viridiplantae; Streptophyta; Magnoliopsida; Poales; Poaceae
Description: partial small subunit ribosomal RNA
Source: RNAcentral
GUGUGGUGCGUGACGUGCUUGGGAUCGGAGGUUAGGAGACGGCCGUGUGGGGGUGAGGAGGGAGCGAGGUGACGUCGGCGGCGUGGAGAGAGAGGAGGCAAGCGAGAAGAGGGAGUAAGUGGUGUCGGUGUCGGGGUCCUCGAGGCAACAGGGACAGCUCCUCUAGGUACCGGAGGGCUGCACGAGUAGACGAGUCCAGCGCUCCUUCGGCCCCCUCCUCCUCUGGAGCAGCGCUCCCUCGACGCCCUCCUCCUCGAGUUGGGUUCUCCUCUCCUACGGUCGGUCCCUCAGCAGAACCGAGCUGCACCAGGAAGCGCAGAACUUGGAUCGUGGCAUCCGCCGAGCAAAUCACCGCGUCGCCUGCCGCCGGAGUCGCCCACCCACUGCCAUCGGCGUCGACCACGUACUGGAGCGUAGGACCCACGCACGAGCUAAUCGAGCGCAGAAGUACCAGAAGUCCACGCGUCCACUCAGGGGUUGGUAGAGUAAGUAAAAAGGAAACUCCUACGUUUACGCUCGUGAUCGACAAACAUUUUUACGAGUUCCUCUUGACGAGUCUCCUCCCGUCAUACACACUUUCAAUAAUCAACUAAGGAUAGUUUCUUUUCAUUUAUAUGAAAGUCACAAAAACAACCAAAGUAAACGCAUAUUAAUCUCAUUUGACGUGACCUAGGUGUAUGAAAGAGGUCGAGGGAACUUUUGAUUACAUAAACCGGGGGGUAAAAUGACAGUUAAACAUCAUACGAAAGAAUACGAACUCACCAGUUGUCUAAAAUCCAAACUCGUCGAUUAACAGUUUAAAUUUUCAUAUUACCUGUUCUAUUUAACACUAGAACGUAACAGAUGAGAUAACUACACCGAGAACUAAAGACUUCGAGGGUCCUAAAUUAUUCGACGGAACCCGAAGUAACCUGUUUACUAGAUGGACCUCGUUACUAUGUAUAACCGUAACUUCGGGCUACCGGAAAAAGAACGUGGUUAAGAAGAGAGCACACACGAGGUCACAACUAUUGGAAAACCCUGGUAAAAAAAGACAUUAACGAAUAUGUUUACACAUUAAUCAACGUGUCUGUAUGUAUGUAUGUACUAAGACGCUCCUUUAAUGAAAGAAACUAGACAAGAAAUAUUUACAAAAAAGUGACCGACAAAUUAUAUCUAUAAAGUAAAGAACGUAUUCGUAUAUACUAAGACACUCGUUUAAUAGAAGUGACAAGACAAAAUCUCUCUACAAACUAAUCGAUGUGUUGUAUGUAUCAAGACAAUCAUUAAACAAAAGGGACCAAUAGAACUAUAAGUCAAGACAACCAUUGGCAAACGUACCACCCAGUACAAUCGUUACCCAUAUUCCCAUAGGUCACGGGUCGGAAAUAUAAAAAUAGUCCACAUAAGUGGUGAUACGUACACAUAUACAACAACCGGAUUGACAUAUGUAAAACAACCACACUACUAAGUAGGAGAUUUUUAAAUAUAACAUAGGAGAACACGAUCUACAAACUCCAAACCGAAAUUUUUAUUCGAUAAAGAUUGCCUUCCAGUUACCCUCUUUUUCCGUCACAUAUGUAAAAUAAACCACGAAUAGACACUGGAACGCGUGAAUAGAAAUAUAUACGAGAAGAAGUAUCUAUAGAAGGACAGCCAAGAGAAUACUUCUAGAAAGGGAUAUAGACUAAAAUAUGGUAUAGUCCUUGGUACCACAGGGUGAUGUGAACUAGGCACUCGACAUACUCUGGAACGCGUUGAAGUUUUAAGUACAAAGUCUAAUACACGUGGCGUCUUUCUAUUGAAGGUGGUACUUACCUGCGAAAGGUCUACGAUGUCGUCUACUCGAAUUACACUCACUACAAUGUACAUAAUAGACAGCACUUCUCUACUGUUGUCGUUUCUUCGACGAAACACCCGUGAACAAGGUACACGUAACAGACUCCAGUACCGCUCUCGCGGUUGUAUGAACGGGGUGUACAUCUAGAGGGUAACGGGGGGCCUGUUACCUGCACUAGGUAGUCACGCUGUUGUACUUCGAGUUGAUCCUCAAUCGAACGACGUCCGUAACCACGAGGUCCAAGUCUUCCUCAUUGUUCGUUCUUGCACUUGUCCGCGGGGUGUUUUGAACUCCGGAUGAACUUGUCCGCGGGUUGUUUUGUCCAACAAUGUAGAGGUUUCUCCUAAGGUCGUCGUUUUGAAGUACCAGUCGAACUUACCUUCGGGAGCGAGUCCAGAAUGAGACGGAGCGGAUCGACGGUGAGAGAAGAUCUCACUAACACGGGGUGGUACGCGUUCCAUAAGUGGUUCUUGGUCUUCCACGAGAAACCUGUGGUACCCUACGAUUCCCGACGUUCUUUAUUUUAUCAUACAACGUAAAACGGAUGUCUAUAGUUCAGAAUCUCUUCCUUCAAAACAUACCGUCAGCUGAGCGACGAAGAGGCUAAGUCUAAGUGUCAAUUUAUAGGGUAAGAAGAAAAAAGUCGGGAACUGUAAAAGAGGAUGAACGAUUACGUCCUACCUUGUGAAGGACAAUGUACAUCAGAAGUCUUGGACACGACUUUACCGCGAAGAAACAAACCUUUCACAGACUAAAACGUUUUGAAAACCGACAUAGCUUAUUAAAAGUUCAACGAAGUCACUGUAGACAAGGACGAUUCUGCAAAAUUUACACUUGGAUUUAUGA